GAGUUUGAUCAUGGUUCAGGACGAACGCUGGCGGCGUGCCUAAUACAUGCAAGUCGAACGCAUCCCGCUGAAUUGAAGUGCUUGCACUGACUUUCAGCAUUGGAUGAGUGGCGAACUGGUGAGUAACACGUGGGUAACCUGCCCGGAAGCAGGGGAUAACACUUGGAAACAGGUGCUAAUACCGUAUAACAACUGAAACCGCAUGGUUUCAGUUUGAAAGAUGGUUUCGGCUAUCACUUCUGGAUGGACCCGCGGCGUAUUAGCUAGUUGGUGGAGUAAUGGUUCACCAAGGCGAUGAUACGUAGCCGACCUGAGAGGGUAAUCGGCCACAUUGGGACUGAGACACGGCCCAAACUCCUACGGGAGGCAGCAGUAGGGAAUCUUCCAUAAUGGACGAAAGUCUGAUGGAGCAACGCCGCGUGAGUGAAGAAGGGUUUCGGCUCGUAAAACUCUGUUGUUGAAGAAGAACACAUCUGGGAGUAACUGUUCAGGUGUUGACGGUAUUUAACCAGAAAGCCACGGCUAACUACGUGCCAGCAGCCGCGGUAAUACGUAGGUGGCAAGCGUUGUCCGGAUUUAUUGGGCGUAAAGCGAGC
Molecule: ribosomal RNA, 596 nt
Filed under: uncultured Lactobacillus sp.
Lineage: Bacteria; Bacillati; Bacillota; Bacilli; Lactobacillales; Lactobacillaceae
Description: bacterial SSU rRNA
Rfam family: Bacterial small subunit ribosomal RNA
Source: RNAcentral